Molecule: ribosomal RNA, 253 nt
Filed under: uncultured bacterium
Lineage: Bacteria
Description: partial 16S ribosomal RNA
Rfam family: Bacterial small subunit ribosomal RNA
Source: RNAcentral
UACAGAGGCCCCAAGUGUUGUUCGGAAUUAUUGGGCGUAAAGAGUGAGCAGGCGGGGAGUCAAGUCAAACUACAAAUCCAAGCGCUCAACGUUUGUUAUAGAUUUGAUACUGACUUUCUUGGGUGCCGGAGAGGACGUUGGAAUUCACGGUGUAGCAGUGAAAUGCGUAGAUAUUGUGAGGAACACCAAUGGCGAAAGCAAACGUCUUGCCGGUUACUGACGCUCAGUCACGAAGGCUAGGGUAGCAAACGGG